AGCGAACACUGGCGGCAGGCCUAACACAUGCAAGUCGAACGAACUCUUCGGAGUUAGUGGCGGACGGGUGAGUAACACGUGGGAACGUGCCUUUUGGUUCGGAAUAACUCAGGGAAACUUGUGCUAAUACCGAAUGUGCCCUUCGGGGGAAAGAUUUAUCGCCAUUAGAGCGGCCCGCGUCUGAUUAGCUAGUUGGUGAGGUAACGGCUCACCAAGGCGACGAUCAGUAGCUGGUCUGAGAGGAUGACCAGCCACACUGGGACUGAGACACGGCCCAGACGCCUACGGGAGGCAGCAGUGGGGAAUCUUGCGCAAUGGGCGAAAGCCUGACGCAGCCAUGCCGCGUGAAUGAUGAAGGUCUUAGGAUUGUAAAAUUCUUUCACCGGGGACGAUAAUGACGGUACCCGGAGAAGAAGCCCCGGCUAACUUCGUG
RNAcentral lists this ribosomal RNA (433 nucleotides) under uncultured bacterium. Its description in RNAcentral is "partial 16S ribosomal RNA". It matches the Rfam family "Bacterial small subunit ribosomal RNA", at positions 29 to 507 of the family's 1533-position model. The record is from RNAcentral.